This is a long non-coding RNA of Selaginella moellendorffii, 394 nucleotides long. RefSeq lists it as uncharacterized. Lineage: Eukaryota; Viridiplantae; Streptophyta; Lycopodiopsida; Selaginellales; Selaginellaceae. The transcript has 4 exons. The record is from RefSeq and is a predicted model, not a curated record.
AAGCUUUGGACCUGCGUAGCUCUCGCCGGUGAUGUAGAAAUCUCUCGUCUGGUACUCGGGAAACUUGUCCAUCCAACCGAGAAGAAAAUUUAGCGUGUCCACGGCUGCAACCACGAGGACCAGCCGACUCCAGCAGGCGCUUCGAGGAAGAGCAUAUUGGACACUGGAUCGAAGAAAGAGGGGUUAAAGCACCGAUCGAAAAUGCAGAAGCAUUGGGAUAGAAGGGUCCAAGCUCCGUAAAUGCUCCUCCACCAAUCGAGGAACAACCAGGCCCUGCCGAUCGAAAUCGAUGCAGAAGAAACUCUAGACAGGCAUGGUUACCUCCAUUUAGCCAGAGGGUCAAAGGCUGCGAGCUGGCUCUCGUUUCGGCCUCUGCGAAGUAGUAGAACAAGGC